RNAcentral lists this unclassified non-coding RNA (307 nucleotides) under Mizuhopecten yessoensis (Yesso scallop). RNAcentral describes it as "uncharacterized LOC110448423, transcript variant X2". The record is from RNAcentral. Lineage: Eukaryota; Metazoa; Mollusca; Bivalvia; Pectinida; Pectinidae.
AGGAUUAAGUCCUGUACAUGGUCUGGCGAGGCUGGUGAAUUUACAACACAGAGGAAAGUCACCAAUGUGCAUAGAUGCUGUCUAAAGUGAUUAUGAUGUCAUUAUUUGAUGAUUACUUCAAUAUUUACUCUUUCAUUGUAAAUGUAGCAACCAAUAUAUUAUGUGACAUUAAUCAGAAGUCUGUUGUUUUAUCUAUUGAUACUUUAUAGGAUUAUUUGGGACUAUUGUCUCUUUUUAUGCUCCCCGAGCCAUAAAAAGGACCAUAACUUCUGACUUGCUGAAGAGUCUCAGCAAUGAAAUUUUAGUG